GAUGAAGAACGUAGCGAAAUGCGAAAAGUAAUGUGAAUUGCAGAAUUCAGUGAAUCAUCGAAUCUUUGAACGCACAUUGCGCCCCCUGGUAUUCCGGGGGGCAUGCCUGUUCGAGCGUCAUUUCACCACUCAAGCCUCGCUUGGUAUUGGGCAACGCGGUCCGCCGCGUGCCUCAAAUCGACCGGCUGGGUCUUCUGUCCCCUAAGCGUUGUGGAAACUAUUCGCUAAAGGGUGUUCGGGAGGCUACGCCGUAAAACAACCCCAUUUCUAAGGUUGACCUCGGAUCAGGUAGGGAUACCCGCUGAACUUAAGCAUAUCAAUAAGCGGAGGA
This 331-nucleotide unclassified non-coding RNA is filed under the name soil metagenome. RNAcentral's name for it is "partial contains 5.8S ribosomal RNA, internal transcribed spacer 2, and large subunit ribosomal RNA". The stretch from base 1 to 120 matches the Rfam family "5.8S ribosomal RNA", at positions 35 to 154 of the family's 154-position model. The record is from RNAcentral.